CCCUUAGAUGUUCCGGGCCGCACGCGCGCUACACUGAUGCAUUCAACGAGUCUAAAACCUGCUCUGAUAGGGGUGGGUAAUCUUUUGAAUGUGCAUCGUGAUUGGGAUAGAUGAUUGCAAUUUUUCAUCUUCAACGAGGAAUGCCUAGUAAACGCAAGUCAUCAGCUUGCAUUGAUUACGUCCCUGCCCUUUGUACACACCGCCCGUCGCUCCUACCGAUUGAAUGAUCCGAUGAAUAUCAUGGAUUGAGGAUGUAAGCAGGUUCGCCUGUCUUCAUCUUCGAGAAGUGAAGUAAAUCUUAUCAUUUAGAGGAAGGAGAAGUCGUAACA
This 329-nucleotide ribosomal RNA is filed under the name uncultured eukaryote. Its description in RNAcentral is "partial 18S ribosomal RNA". It matches the Rfam family "Eukaryotic small subunit ribosomal RNA", at positions 1470 to 1796 of the family's 1831-position model. The record is from RNAcentral.